CAGCCGUAAACAAUGUGCGUUAGGUAUGUCGGUAACCACGUGUUACUGAUGUGCCGAAGAGAAAUCGUGAAACGCACCACCUGGGAAGUACGGUCGCAAGGCUGAAACUUAAAGGAAUUGGCGGGGGAGCACCACAACAGGUGGAGCCUGCGGUUUAAUUGGAUUCAACGCCGGACAUCUCACCGGAUAAGACUGUUACAUGAAACCCAGACUAAUGAUCUUGGUUGAUUUUCAGAGAGGUGGUGCAUGGCGUCAGUGACU
RNAcentral lists this ribosomal RNA (261 nucleotides) under uncultured archaeon. Its description in RNAcentral is "partial 16S ribosomal RNA". It matches the Rfam family "Archaeal small subunit ribosomal RNA", at positions 748 to 1008 of the family's 1478-position model. The record is from RNAcentral.